GCCAACCUCUACCGCUGGUUCCCCCCCAUCCCCGCCGCCUCCCUCAGCGCGGCGGGGUUCGAGCUGCCGCCCGCUGCAGGCAGCGCCGCCGUGAGGGGCUGCCCCGCCACCGGGCCCUGCCGUUACCUGGGAGAGCCGGGGAAGACCUAGAGAGGGGGAAUCGGACCCUGUGCUCAGGACCUGGGUGGAAGUGCUCCAUGAUCACUGCUGUGUCAGUGAUAAGUAUCAAUGCACACUGCAUGGCACCCCAUGAUGCUGAAGAGGAGACAGUGCUGAGGACCUGCCCAAAUACACCUAUCCCAGACCUGACCUGCUUUGUGCUGGAGAUCCUGUCACUUUGCUGAAGUGAUGCAGAGGACAAAAAACGUGAUGGAGGUCAAGUUCAGCAAUACGUGGCAGUGCACAGCCUGGACUAUGAAGGGAGCUAUUUUUAACCUGGAUGUGUUCUGUGAUUUGUUUCCCACACAGCAUUGAAACUGGCACAGCUGAGGGGUUGGUGGCAAUGAAGUUGCACCAAGAAGUCCAAGAGCAAUCAGGAGAGACUUCAGGGCUUCAGGAUGGUUGCUUAAGGGGUCGGGAGCACAAACACUUAAAAUACCAAGACUUUUUCUUUUCCAGCUAUCUAAAUAAUUUUCCCUGUGAACUGAACUGCUUCCUCUGGAUAAUACACUGUUUUUCUACCUGCUGGAGAGGUGGAGUCCCCCUGAAUGUACUGCUGCUCUGCAUAACCAGGAACUGUCUCCUGAACACAGAGUAAGACAGAACAGCUUGGACUUAGCAGUCCUGUGAGAUUUACAAAUCAAACCAGCUAAUCAAGAUUUAAAACAGCUCUAGAUUGAAAAGACUAGCAAGUGGUCCAGCUGUGAGUUAAUUCAUUAGUUGCAGUAAAUAUCACUAGAAGAGCUUGUCAAAAGGAAAUGUGAAGCAGCUGAAAAGAAUCAUCCUUAAAGUGAAUGUCAUAGGCUUUUGCAGCUGUCAUCCAGUGGACUGGAGAUUCCAGGCAUUGGAGAGAAAAUGAGGGUGAAAGAAAUAAAAAUUUGAGUACAGAGGAUAAAGUACUAGUUCCCACUGAGUGAUUAUAAAGGAAGCAAUCUUACCACUACAGGGACCUAAUUAGAGACUGAAUCUCACAACUGUCUAAUGUCUCCUCCAGGACUCUGAGAAACCCGAACUAGCUAACACAGUCCACUCAGACGAGCAGCACUAGGAGGCUCUGCUGCUUCAGGGCACACUGGAAUUGCCACAUUUAUGUAGCUGUGGGCAUUUUCCAGUGUUCUUGUGUCCUGUUCAGCACUCGCUUAGAACCAAAGCAGCAACACUGUUUUCUUGCCUGGCCAGCACAGCGCCAUCUUGGUCCUACAGAAGGCAACAAUGGGCUUCUACUACCACAUACCUGAGUAUCCCUAAGGAAAGGCAUCAGGACCCUUUGUACCAGGCAAAUAUAAGAGUUAGUUGUCAGCAUUAACAAAAGAGAAUUUCACAUUUCUAUGACUGAUCUGAUGAAUCACUACUUUUCUUGCUCCCCAAAAUGUGUAGAUCAGGUGUGAGUCCUCAGGCCUUCCUGGAGUCGCCAGUGCUGUCAGUCAGGGCUUGCCUGUAUCAAUUCACUUAAGCCUGGGUGCAGGGCUCAGCUCUCCCACCUUGAUCCACCUAUUGCUUGUGUGAGACACUGUCACCCUUCUUUCCAUCCUUGUGGAAAUGUGGAAACACUGGCCAUAGUUUGAGGCUAACCUUUGGCAGCAGUGCCCACUGCUUUUCUAGCUGCUCCUUUCAGCUUCUGAGCUGCAGUGCAUCACCUCAUCAUUGAUGUGCCAAGCAGGGAACCCCCUGACUUAGGUUUUUUCUUUGGUGAUUUCUUCUAAGCAGCAACAAGUUUUUGCUAGAUUUUAUUUAUGACUGAUCAUUUCUGGCCCCUGGUCCUCAGUAUUUCCCUCCUGGUGCAAGGAAGCGCUGUGACAGCAAGUAGCCAUGCUCUGGGGUCAGCAGUGGGGUGAGCAAGGAGGAAUCUUUUUGCCUGGUAUUGCCAUGAAAGGCACGUUUAAUGUAACGCUGUCCCCACAGAGUGAUUCUGUGCAGGUGAGGCUUCAGGGAAGUACAAGGAUCUCUUCCAGUAUUAGUGCUACUAGCAGUCACAUUUUUCUGUAGCAGGAUUUUCCAGGCAUAGGGAAGGUCUGUGCCUUCUGAAACCACUCAGGUAGUUCAGUGCUCCUGGGAAGAAGAAGGAUAACUGCACAGAUGCAUUGUGUUUGCAGGGACAGUGGUUUAGAGGUCUCUUCUGAAGCUGGGAGGAGGUAAGUGACCUGCCCAGAGAGAGCUCAGCCAAUAUCUGACAAGGACAUUUUCAUAACCAAGAUAAAUAAACAGAUGCCUUUUUUGCUCUAGGGAAAUAAUUUCUUCUUUGCUACUAGCCUGAGACCAUUCACUUGGCUUAGCCUGUAUCUUUACCAUAUGAAACAAGCCUGAACCAUUUCAUUUGAGGUUGUUAUUUAUUUGGGUCAAUAUGAAACAUUUCUGGCAUUUCUUUUCCAUUUUCCUGCCUUUAUAUGUUGCUGUCUUCACUCCUGUGUAUAUAUUUUCUUCUCUAUAUCUCAGUUCUCCUCUCUUGUAAUAUUUUAAAUCCUUAAUUGCCUGAUGCAGCAAAUUGAGAGUAUUAGUUACCUUCCAUGACCACUCUGACCACAAUGACUUCCUUUGCUUGACAAGGUGAUUAAUUUGUCAAGUUGAAUGUUUAAGUCUGUCUGGAGUAUCUCUGUGUAUCUUGUGCAAGAUUGCAGUUGCAGGUUUGUUCCUUAUUGGACAUGCUGUUUCUUCAGACACAGAAUACCUCUGAGGGGCUUUUCUUCCCCCACUUCCCUACUGAGAGUGAUGCUCCUGCAGUUUAUACCAAUGAUCAUAUCCUGCAUGUCCCCUAGGAGAGGGUAAACAGCAGGUGCAACAUGGAAGCCAUAGCAUCAGCAGUGCUUUCAGAUUGUACAGUGGAUAUAAUUGAGGGAAAAUAGCAAAACUCAAGUAAAUUAAAUGCAUUUUGUAGCAGUUCCUGAGGGAGAACAGACUGCAUUGUUUGUGAGCUUCUAUCCAGGUCAAGCAGGCCGGAUCUUCCACAGAGAAGUUGCUGACUUUGGCCCCAAAAUAUCAUUGUUAAGGUAAGAAAAAUAUCCAAAUUUCUCUUAAUUUUUCCUAGUUGGUACAUUAUAAAGGCAUUCAGACCACUGUAGACAUAAGCAUUCAGGAAACAACACUAAGCAACACAAAGAACAAAAAACAGUAGGUACUUCCUGAGAAGUUUGGAAAACUGACUCUUAUACCACUGAGGGAGUGUAAGUCCUAACAGCUACAGUAGCCGCAUGUCACCUGGGACCAGAGUGUGAAUGAUUCUUUUGUAAUAUUACUUGGUGAAUGUCUCAACAUCUUGAGCUCAUUGCAGAAGAGAAAAAAAAAGCUGGACAGUGUUAUUUUCUGAUAGCACUGGAACAUUAAUUUCUCUGUGAUGGUAUCCAACUGUCUUGGGUAUCUGAGCAGGCAGGUCAAAGGAAAGCAAUGUGUAGACUUGAUUUUCGAAAGCACCUUUUUCCAGUAAGUGUGAACUUAUUUUCUUUUAGGAAUAAUAUUUUUUCCUGGCAUAUUGUAACAGAAAUAAUAAAAUAAACAAAAGCAUAGUAUACUUGUAAGAUGAACCUCAGAGCUAUACUGGGCAAGAAGCUGUCUCAAGGCAGCCUUUGUUUCCCCAGGGACUUGCACUCUAGCCACUCCCUGCCCUGGGCUAGUGUGCUGGGAUGCCCUGGCCUGUCCUGUCCUGGUCUCCCCCCUGUUCUGUAGCUCUGAGCCCCGCCACUUCCUGUCCUCGGAAAGGCAGAGGUGGUGGAGCAGGCUCCCAGCAGCUACAGAGGAGCAGAGGGUCUCCAUCAGGGCAUCUCCUUGCAGGAGAUGGAGAAGACACCUCUGCCAUAGGGUUGCAGCAGGGGCAGUCACAGGCUUCCUUCUACAGCUGGCAGCACUCUGCUUUUUCCCAUCAUUUAUUAUCUGAUGUCUGGUUUUGUCUGUUUUGUGCUGGCUUUUGGGACACCUCCUCCUUGGGCUGCCAAGGAUGGUGGCAGUGUCCUCACACCAAGGGUAUUGACCCCGGCCCUGGGCACAAAGCAUCCAUCCCCACUGCUUGCCUGACCCUCCCCUUGAGACCUACUUUUACUGGGAGAAACAAGGUAACCUCGCCACUGAAAAUAGCUGGGACGGCGGCCAGUGGAGAUUAAUGGCAUCAUUAACGUUCUCAGUUUAUUUAUAGGCUUAAAAAUGCCUCGGACCCGCAAACUGAGCAGAGUUGUUCUGUGUAACACAGGGACUGACAGGUCUCCUGCUUCUGCCUUUCCCCUUCCUACUAUUUCAUUCUAAUUGCUGGGACUGUAAAACCUCAGGAGCAGGGACUGUCUCUCAUUGUGAACCUACUCUGUAAACCUUCCUAACUGGGGGGAUGCACACAGAUACUUUUUUUUUCCAAGAAUGCUGUAUUUGUCUGGUCUCCUUCCUCCACCAACUCCUUCUGUGCACACUGUGUCCCAUGGCCUUCUUUGGGAAAAUUAUCUUUUAGAUGAAUUCCUGAGGCACGAGCUGAGCGGUUGUCACAGGAAUUUUCUGUGAUUUUCUGCCUUGGGUUUUAAAUUAUGCGCUCUGUAAGAGGAGGGCUAAGAUUCUCAUAGCUGUGGAGAGCACCUAGGAUAUGUAGGGCCCUAGUGAGGCAUGCAGAUGCAAUUAAUGAUCAUGGAGGUCUUUCAACAGGAGCCAGCAGAGGCAACCUAGCUCCCAGGUCCCCCAGGAACCUCAUGGGACUGGCAAGAAAAGAAAAAAACACCUCAGGUGUGUUGGCCCCAGAAGAGGAGUUUUCAGCACGUAACGUGUGGCCACACUGCCUGGCCUGUUUCCCAGUACUUAGUGAAAGGGGGUGAAAUAAAGAACGAGCAGAGAAUCACUCAAACCACUGUUGUCUUUUUUUUCCCUCUGGGCAAUGAGAAUACUUCAGAGCAGAGUGAAGGAGCCCAAAAUGGUAGAAGGAGGAUUUCUCUGCCAUGGCCACAACAGGAAAGAGAUACCUCUUACACAGUUGUUUCUCAUCUAAACUCCUGAGCACCUAACCAGAAAAGUCAGCACAACUUUCUCACUUACACUGAUGUCAGUAGGGGAGUGAGUCUUGUGGCAAAAGGGACCAUCUGCAUCUCAAACUAAUUAUCUGCUUUGAAAAGUGAAUAUACAAAGUGCAUUGCAGGCAGCAAAGGCAUUGCUGUGCUUUUACAAGAAAAAUCAAGAGCGCAAGAGCACAUUUUGAAGUGAAGGCACAUUGUCAAUAAUUAUGCACGGUUUGGGUUUGUGCUGUCUUGCCACUCAUCCUUGGAUCCUACACUGAGUCCUGACUUUCUUAUGGCACAGAUAAUAACUUAAAAGAAAGAAACCCAACAGAAUUUCCACGAUCUAUAUCUACAGCAUCACACAUGGAAGACAUAACAUUUGAUGGCUGGCGGCUUUGAAAAAAAUCACAGCUCCAUUGUGCUCCAAAGGCAUAUUGAAUGAUUCAGAUGGAAAGAAAAGCCCACGUCAGUAGGAACAGGGGACUCAAAUACGAGCGUUGAGGCCAGCAGAGCAGAGGCAUCAAUCCCAGGCAGUAGCACAUCCUGGCAAUGCUGCACCCUGUGACAGCACUGACAUUAUGGUUUCCCCCUCUCUGUUGUGGGUGUGUGGAAGGCAGGUGCUGCUCCCGGUAUUAGGGGUGUCCCUGAGCACCCCUGGUACCACAGGAAUGGCACUGAUUGCCUGAGGGUGGUGGGGCAGCAGGACAACACUCCUGUCCUACCUGGGGAGUGCAGAUCCAGCCUCCAGCAGCUGGGGGGGGAGGUGAACUCACUGCUUCCUCCUGGAGCAGGGCUGGCAGCAGUGGAUGUCAGGCAGGGCAGGAGGAAGGGGAUACGGUCACCACCGAGUGACCCCUAGCAGAGGCAGAACCUCAGUGCUCCUGAGUGGAAUCAGAGCAUGAAGUGCUAGACACGUUAUUGCUGCCACUGAACAUCUGGUGCAAAUGCUCCCCAAAAAUAGAUAAUUUCCUUCUUCCACCUCAAAGGAAACAGUGUUGGAAGGAGUCUCAGUCAUAGCUGGGCUGGUGCAAGGAAGGGUCCCUGCCAUAGGUGGGUUUACUGGCAGCCUCCUACUUGGAGACUGUUACACCUCCUGGCGAGUGACUCUUGGACCAGCCAUCAGUCCCAGGUAGGAUCCAAGGGGUUAGUCCUGUGAAAUGCCCUGACACCCACAUAGGUGCUGUGACUCUCAGCCCCUGCCUCAAAGUACGAACCCACUAGCACUUUGCCACUGGUGGGUGACAAAGCAAACCCAAAGCCUUCAGUCCCAAAAACCUGCUGUUAAAGCUGCUCCUGUGCUGAGGGGCUCAGGCUGUGAUCAGUCCUCACCUGCAUUUCCCAGUUCCAGUUUUACAUUACAGUGCUAGUUCACAGCACCUUCCUUAUUGGCAGGCAUCAGUAGAAAUGCGUGUCAACAAAACCGAAGCGAGUGUAAGCGCUGCUGCAGACAAGUCUAAUAAAAUAUGAGUCACUGUUAUUCAAUCAUUUACCAGCGCACGUUCUACAACAAAGUUCUCUCCUCUAGGAUCACCACCACACAAAUUUGAGAGUUUUUUUUUUUAAAGAGAACUGUGAUUUUACUUUUAACUGCGUAGCUGAGUCUUCAGAGGGCUGGUGCCUGUUAUCCCUGCUUGCAGCCCGGUGCUCUGCUCCCUGUGCAUCUGACAUUUUCAAGCCAGGUGUGCGGCACCAAGCCCUGGCACGACCCAUGACUUGUGCUCGGCAUGGUGUGGCCAUGGGCAAGAGUUCCACAUCGUCCUUCCUCCUGGCAGUUUUCACGCCUCCCCACCACCAGGAGCGAACAGGCAGCAAGGCAGGGGCUGCCAGGGAAACCCCCCACUCCAGUUGCCAUCAGUGGCCCUGCACUGCUGCACGCCUUCAUCAUCUGUAGUGCCACUGGUUGGUGUUUAGGGAUAGGCAUUUUCCCCCUGGGCUGGGAUGGUUUUUAAUUUUUGGUAACAAAUGCACUUGACAAACAUGGCAGCACAUGUCCUUAGUUUCCCCUCCGUAAGCCUAAUUUUUUGAAUGGCAUCUUGCAAGAAGCAUUUAAAUGGUGACCUCUUGCUACUGUAAGAUAUGUGGGGAGAUGGUCCUUUCCAGGCAUUCAAGCUGUAGUGCUUGGUCUUUCUUGUUUUUACCAGGGAACUUUUGGGAGGUCAGAAAUAUAGGAAUUGAGGUUUUGCUGCCUUAGCAGGUGAAAGGCUGCUGGAAGCAUGCAGAUGAACUUCCUUUGUGCCAAAUGACUGUCAUUUAAGUCAAACACUUUUUAACAACAGAAGCAAGAUUUUAAAAGGGCGUAGCUAAAAACCCCCACAUUUGCUUGUCCUCCUUGCUCUGUGCUGCUGUGCUAUCUCUCCGCUUAGCUUGAUCUUGAGCACUCCUGCUGCAGGGAAGGCUUGAGCUUCUGAUGUGGCAAACAGGUAGACUAAGCUAAUUUAGCGCUUAAGUCUUUUAUUCCAUCAUAAAGUGGGAAAAGGGAAGGCUCUUCUCUCUUGCGGGUCACCUCUAAUAGCAAUUGCUUCAGCAAGAUGGAUUUCAAAAUUAGGUGCUCUUGAAGCAGAAGCCACACUGUAUUUUUCAGCAGCACAAAGCAGCCGUAAGAGCAAUCUGACCUUCAUUCUUCAUAAUAAAUUCAUUGGGGGAAAAAAUCCAUCUUUGUUUUUCAGCUUGAAGUACUGUCAAAAGAAAAGCCGGGGCACGACAUAUACAAAAUAAAAAGUACAAGACAACUUCAGCAAAAUGAUAAAAAACUCUCAGAGAUUUACUUUUCCUGUUUUUUCUUAUUCCAGUAUCGGAAGAAAGUCUGACAGCUUGUCUACAAGUACAUUAUUUUGGAAUAAAGGCUGGUGUUAAUUUAAAGUGAAUCUAUUCUAGACUAAAUUAAUACCAUCUCAAAAGUGGUU
Long non-coding RNA from Corapipo altera (White-ruffed manakin), 8017 nucleotides. RefSeq lists it as uncharacterized. Lineage: Eukaryota; Metazoa; Chordata; Aves; Passeriformes; Pipridae. The record is from RefSeq and is a predicted model, not a curated record. The transcript is spliced from 9 exons.